RNAcentral lists this unclassified non-coding RNA (204 nucleotides) under uncultured fungus. Its description in RNAcentral is "sequence contains ITS1". Lineage: Eukaryota; Fungi. The record is from RNAcentral.
GUACAUUAGUGCUUGCGCACAACAAUAGGUUUCAUUACAUUCGAGUGUGUGUAAAAAUCCUCUGCCAGCCGAAGCUAGCAAGAGGCCAGAAGUUCACAAGGGUAUUGGAUGAAAGCCACCGCCGUGCACUUGCCAGUUCUGGCCAGCACAGACGGCAACCAUUCGUAAUCAUUAAUGAUCCUUCCGCAGGUUCACCUACGGAAA